Molecule: ribosomal RNA, 497 nt
Filed under: uncultured bacterium
Lineage: Bacteria
Description: partial 16S ribosomal RNA
Rfam family: Bacterial small subunit ribosomal RNA
Source: RNAcentral
GAUGAACGCUGGCGGCGUGCCUAAUACAUGCAAGUCGAGCGAACGGACGAGAAGCUUGCUUUUCUGAUGUUAGCGGCGGACGGGUGAGUAACACGUGGAUAACCUACCUAUAAGACUGGGAUAACUUCGGGAAACCGGAGCUAAUACCGGAUAAUAUUUUGAACCGCAUUGUUCAAAAGUGAAAGACGGUCUUGCUGUCACUUCUAGAUGGAUCCGCGCUGCAUUAGCUAGUUGGUAAGGUAACGGCUUACCAAGGCAACGAUGCAUAGCCGACCUGAGAGAGUGAUCGGCCACACGGGAACUUAGACACGGUCCAGACUCCUACGGGAGGCAGCAGUAGGGAAUCUUCCGCAAUAGGCGAGAGCCUUGCGGAGCAACGCCGCGUGAGUGAUGAAGGUCUUCGGAUCGUAAAACUCUGUUAUUAGGGAAGAACAUAUGUGUAAGUAACUGUGCACAUCUUGACGGUACCUAAUCAGAAAGCCACGGCUAACUACGUG